GGAGGAAAAGAAACCACCAGGGAUUGCCCCAGUAACGGCGAGUGAAGCGGCAACAGCUCAGAUUUGAAAUCUGGCCCCCCCGCGGGGUCCGAGUUGUAAUCUGUAGAGGAUGCUUUGGGCGACGCGCCUACCGAGUCCCCUGGAAUGGGGCGCCACAGAGGGUGAGAGCCCCGUACGGUAGGACGCCCAGCCCGUGUAAAGCUCCUUCGACGAGUCGAGUAGUUUGGGAAUGCUGCUCAAAAUGGGAGGUAAAUUUCUCCUAAAGCUAAAUACUGGCCAGAGACCGAUAGCGCACAAGUAGAGUGAUCGAAAGAUGAAAAGCACUUUGAAAAGAGGGUUAAAUAGCACGUGAAAUUGCUGAAAGGGAAGCGCUUGCGACCAGACUUGCGCCCGGCUGAUCAGCCAGCGUUCUCGCUGGUGCACUCUGCCGGGCUCAGGCCAGCAUCGGCUCCUCCAGGGGGACAAAACCCGCCGGAACGUGGCUCCCUUAGGGGAGUGUUAUAGCCGGCGGCAGAAUACCCCUCGGGGGGGCCGAGGCCCGCGCAACUGCACGGAUGCUGGCGUAAUGGUCGCCAGCGACCCGUCUUGAAACACGGACCAAGGAGUCAAGCAUUAGUGCGAGUUUUUGGGUGCAAAACCCGCUGGCGAAAUGAAAGUGAACGCAGGUCAGAGCCUCGGCGCAUGAUCGACCGAUCCUGAUGUUUUCGGAUGGAUUUGAGUAAGAGCACUAAUGUUUGGACCCGAAAGAUGGUGAACUAUGCCUGGAUAGGGUGAAGCCAGAGGAAACUCUGGUGGAGGCUCGCAGCGGUUCUGACGUGCAAAUCGAUCGUCAAAUUUGGGCAUGGGGGCGAAAGACUAAUCGAACCAUCUAGUAGCUGGUA
Molecule: ribosomal RNA, 881 nt
Filed under: Distoseptispora tropica
Lineage: Eukaryota; Fungi; Ascomycota; Sordariomycetes; Distoseptisporaceae
Description: Distoseptispora sp. RZ-2022d partial large subunit ribosomal RNA
Rfam family: Eukaryotic large subunit ribosomal RNA
Source: RNAcentral